UUUUUCUGUGCACAUAUUUUCGUGAUUAUUUUUGUUCGGUGGUGUUCUGUGAGAUUUGUAAAAUGUCAAAUAUGUGCGUUGGCUGAGUAACGGUUGAGGAAACGCUGCUUUAGCUGAAUUGGAGAGUGGAAUAAGCCUCUGUCUCCCUCUCUCUGUCUCUCCCUCCCCCGUUUUAGCCUCGCUCCAACUCCCCUCCUCGCUCUUGUCAUUUUCUGCCCUCGUUUCCGCGGGUGAAAGUCCCGCGGGAGGCAGGCGCUCAGCUCCGCGGGAGAGCCGACGGGAUGAGGGAGAGGGAAACGGCGCUGACAGCUUCGUAGGUGGUAGACCGAAGUGAAGGCCCAAUACUGUAGGGAGAAAUAAGAAGUGCUUUUAGAAAGAGCAAAGCGCAGGUGGGGAAAAGCAAGAGGCUAAACGGAGGAGGGGGAAGAAACGCAACAGUAGGUCGUGACGUGUCGCCAUGACAACAGAGGCGGGCUCUGAGACAGAGGUGAAGGAGAAAGCGGAGAAGUCAGCCGCCGGGCUCGACCAAUCGGAGCAGGCCAGCGCGGAGAGCCAGGAAGUGGCCGGCGCUGAGGGAGACGCGGAGAAAGAGAAAGAGGGGAAGGGGAUAUCGCGCUACCUGCCGACAUGGUUUAAGAAGCAAAAGUCUGAGAGCCAGACCUCCCCGACCAAGGAGGUGCCGUCGCCGGAGAAGCCCGCCGGCAACCGCGAGGAGGUUCCGGAAGUGAACGGACACGCAGAGGAAGUAGAAGGGAAGGACGCGCUCAGUCCGAUCCGGGAGCGAGUCAAAGAAAAGGAAGCAGAGUGCCACUCCAACGCCAGCGCCGACACAGAGCCCGCCGAGGAAGAGGAAGUCGAGCGGAAAACCGUCGGGGGCGCCGAGGCCGCAGGUGAAGGAGGAGCCGAGGAGGAGCGGCCAGAGAAGAAGGACGAGGUGAAGGAACGAGCGCAGGGGGGCGAAGGCCAGACGACCAUUUUCCAGUCGCCGCUGCGCUUGGUGAGGAAGAGCAAGAUGAAGCUGGUGGUGUGUCACGUGACCCUCCUGGACGGCUCCGACUUCGCCUGCGAGGUGGAGAAGCGCGCCAAGGGUCUAUUCUUGUUCUUCAAGGUGUGCGAGCACCUCAAUCUGCUGGAGAAGGACUACUUUGGUCUGACGUACACAGACCACCACGAGCAGAAGUGCUGGUUGGACCCCACCAAGGAAAUCAAGAGACAAAUCCGCAGUAACAACUGGCAGUUUGCGUUCAACGUCAAGUUCUACCCACCUGAUCCCUCGCUGCUCACCGAAGACAUCACGAGGUACCUGUUGUGUCUGCAGCUCCGCGAAGACGUGGCGUCCGGCCGAUUGCCUUGCUCGUUUGUCACUCACGCUCUCCUGGGCUCGUACACGCUGCAGGCAGAAUUUGGCGACUAUGAACCCGACCAGCCUCGUCCUCUGGACUACAUCAGCCAGCUGACCUUUGCCCCCAAUCAGAGCAAAGAGAUGGAGGACAAGAUUCUAGAGCUACACAAGUCCCACAAGGGAAUGACACCAGCGCAGGCAGACGCACAGUUUCUAGAAAACGCCAAGAAGUUGUCUAUGUACGGGGUGGACCUGCACCACGCGAAGGAUUCUGAGGGCGUGGACAUCAUGCUGGGAGUGUGCGCCAACGGACUCUUGGUCUACAAGGACAGGCUUCGGAUAAAUCGCUUCGCUUGGCCCAAAAUCCUCAAGAUUUCCUACAAGAGGAACAACUUCUACAUCAAGAUCAGACCUGGAGAGACGGAGCAGUUUGAGAGCACCGUGGGAUUCAAACUCCAGAAUCAUCGCUCCGCCAAACGGCUGUGGAAAGUCUGCGUGGAGAACCACAGUUUCUUCAGGCUAAACGCACCAGAGCCCCCCACCACCCCGCGCUUCUUGACUCUGGGCUCCAAGUUCCGUUACAGUGGACGCACGCAGACCCAAACCCGCCUGGCCAGCACCCUCAUAGACCGGCCCGCGCCCGCUUUUGAGCGCACCUCGUCCAAACGCAUCAGCCGCAGCCUCGAUGGAGCACCAAUGAUCAGCAUAACGGAGGCCAGCCGGGACACCACUGAGAACGGACACGAGCCCCACCUGGACCUCCAUUGUGACUCCAAGGUUAAGGAGGCGGACUCGAGCCCUGGCCGUGUGGAAGCCACGCCCACCCAGAGUCCAGUGCGAGUGCGUGCGGAUAAUAUUUAUGUGAGGCACAGUAAUUUGAUGUUAGAGGACCACGAUAAGACCCAAGAGGAAGUACUGAAACACCAGGCUAGCGUUAGCGAGCUCAAGCGCUCUUUUAUGGAGGCGCCGCCGGCCUCCCCUCCGCAGCACAACCUGUGGGAGAAGCGCCUCAGCUCGUCUCCUGCCACCGCCACGCGCGCUCAGCGGCCCGCAGCGGUGCCCGAGACAGAAGGACCAGCAGCAGCCGCUUCGGCAGCAGAAAACGGCGACACCGAAGAACUCAGCAAGACGACGGAAGUUGAAAUUGAAGAAACUGUUGUGGUGCGAGAGGUUUCCACCAAAGCCGUCGUCCCGGAGGAGCGCAGGCAGGAAGUGAAAGUGGAAGAGAGUGCGGGGCUUGCGCAGAAGAAGAAGAUGAAGCAGCGGGAGAGCGUUUCGUCGGAGAGCGAAAGCGACGAGGAGGCGGAAUAUCACCCCAACGUGCUCGUGUCCAUCUCGCGCACUCAAAUACCCGAGGAGAAAGAGGAAGAAGAGGAGCGGGAGGAUGGAGUCAGCCUGCCCGCCCGGUCUGAAGAUCCAGCGGAAGAGAAGAAAGAAGGAGAAGAACCCACGGCGACGCCCGCCGAAGCUCCCAACGGACCGGCCCAGCACGAAGAGGACCGCGCCCGGCCGGUCGCUCCCGCGCAACAAGACCAAGUGCCCAGAGUGAACGGCGAGGCCACGGCGGUGGAUGCGCGUCCACAGGUUAUUUGUUGCUCUCAGCCGCCGGUGGUAAAGACAGAAAUGGUGACAAUAUCGGACACGUUCGCGGCACAGAAGACCGAGAUCGCGACCAAGGAAGUUCCCAUCGUGCACACGGAAACCAAGACCAUCACAUACGAGGCCGCACAGCUGGACGGAAGCGGCGACGGAGAGCCCGGAGUUCUGAUGACCGCUCAGACAAUCACCUCGGAAUCUCUGUGCACCACCACCACCACGCACAUCACCAAGACGUUAAAGGGCGGCCUGUCGGAGACGAGGAUCGAGAAGCGCAUCGUCAUCACUGGCGACUGCGACAUCGACCACGACGAGGCUCUGGCCCAGGCCAUCAAGGAGGCCAAAGAGCAACAUCCUGACAUGUCGGUCACCAGAGUGGUGGUUCAUAAAGAGACCGAGCUGGCCGAAGAGGAGGAUUGACCCAACGCAGGUAUUAGUCGUAAUAAUGGAAAUAAGAAUGUUUUCGUUGGCAUCAUUACUACAGUGGAACCUUCACAAUCCCAGAAAACGUAGAGAAUACAAGGCGGGCCAAAACUAGUGGGUUGCAACUUAGCGCCAACUGGAAAAUGGAGGUCCCACGGUGACAACAUUUCAAAACACCAAGAAUCUCUCUCCCCACUCUUACGUGCAGCGCUGAAGGAGCCGUUGGGGAUGUCAUGACCUAUGACCCGUGACCUGCGUCUUUCACCUUGACUGACAGAAGAGGCGCCAGAAGAAAACCAACACCAAGUCUCUCCCCCCCAAAAAAUAACAAUCAAGAAAAUAACAACACACACUUUGCGGGAGCAAAAGAACCACAUUGUUAGCUUAACAAUUGUAGCGUGUUUUUACUUCUUUUUGUUGUUUUUUUCAUAGUGCUUUUUUUUUUCUUUAUGACAUAAAAGAGACAAAGAGGGGAUGCACUGAUAAGCAACCAAGAUAAAAUAUGACGAUGAUAAUCUUCAUCAUUCAUAAAACUAGACACUGAAGUGUUGCACUUUGGGAAACGUUUUAUAUCUGUGUGUCUCCUCUUUAGUGCAGGGGUGGGGAAGCUACCGUACUUAAAAAAACUAAUAAAACCUCAUAGGAAUUGUGUAUAAAAAGCCCUAUAUGCUCAUAAUGUAUCAGAAUUCCCCCCUCCAAAAAAAAAAAAAAGAAAAGGUUCUCCACUCCUGCUCUAAUGUGAUAACAGAGCAGCUCCUUCCCUCACAUCAAUAAAUGUAAACAUAAUUCACCAUUUUGCAUAAAAGCCACCUAAAACACUCACAUACUAAUGGUACAAACAAGUGGUGACAUUCUAACCACUCAUUGACGUUUCCUGAUAUUCAAUCCUCACAUUUUAAACAAAAAAAAAAAAAAAAGGAAAAAAAACAUACACUUGAUAAAAAGCUUUCAGUUUGUUGUUUUUAUACGAAAUGUGAACGAGUUUAAGCUAAAACAGAUUUCUCUGCAGACACACUGAAAAGAAGGUGAUAGCAGAAAGGAGCCACAGCCGUUCCUGUUCCUGUCAACGGAAUGCAGGGAUCAUUUGGGAGAUUUUUUAUUUUAAGUUGUUUUAAUGUGAAACCACAUCGUUUGGACAUAAAAGUGCCACGAUGGGGUUUGGAAGCGUAUAGAUGACACACAAUCACAGCUCGAUACAGUUUAUCGACAACCCCAAUUCCAAUGAAGUUGGGAUGUUGUAUUAAACAUAAAUAAAAACAGAAUACAAUGAUUUGCAACUCAUGUUCCACCUAUAUUUAAUUGAAUACACUGCAAAGACAAGAUAUUUAAUGGGGCAAAGAUGGGGCGAGGUUCACCUCUUUGUGAACAAGUGUGUGAGAAAAUAGUCCAACAGUUCAAGGACAAUGUUCCUCAAUGUACAAUUGCAAGGAAUUUAGGGAUUUCAUCAUCUACGGUCCAUAAUAUCAUCAAAAGGUUCAGAGAAUCUGGAGAAAAAAACUGCAUGUAAGCGGCAAGGCCGAAAACCAACAUCGAAUGCCCGUGACCUUCGAUUCCCUCAGGCGGCACUGCAUCAAAAACCGACAUCGAUGUGUAAAGGAUAUCGCCACAUGGGCUCAGGAACACUUCAGAAAACCAAUGUCAGUAAAUCCAGAUCGGUACUACAUCCGUAAGUGCAACUUAAAAACUCUACUAUGCAAAGCGAAAGACAUUGAUCAACAACACCCAGAAACGCCGCCGGCUUCUCUGGGCCCGAGCUCAUCUAAGAUGCACUGAUGCAAAGUGGAAAAGUGUUCUGUGGUCCGACGAGUCCACAUUUCAAAUUAUUUUUGGAAAUUGUGGACGUCAUGUCCUCCGGGCCAAAGAGGAGAAGAACCAUGCGGACUGUUAUGGACGCAAAGUUCAAAAGCCGGCAUCUGUGACGGUAUGGGGCUGUGUUAGUGCCAAUGGCAUGGGUAACUUACACAUCUGUGAAGGCACCAUUAAUGCUGAAAGGUACAUACAGGUUUUGGAGAAACAUGUGCUGCCAGCCAAGCAACGUCUUUUUCAUGGACGCCGCAGCUUAUUUCAGCAAGACAAUGCCAAACCACAUUCGUAGCGUGGCUUCGUAGUAAAAUAUUUCGGCUACUAGAAGGCCAGACCUGUCUCCCAUUGAAAAUGUGUGGCGCAUUAUGAAGCGUCAAACACGACAACGGAGACCCCAGACUGUUGAACAGCUGAAGCUGUACAUCGAGCAAGAAUGGGAAAGAAUUCCACCUACAAAGCUUCAACAAUUAGUGUCGUCAGUUCCCAAACGUUUAUUGAAUGUUUUUAAAGUAAAAGAUGAUGUAACACAGCGGUAAACAUGACCCUGUCCCAGCUUUUUUGGAACGUGUUGCAGCCAUAAAAUUCUAAGUUCAUGAUUAUUUGCUAAAAACAAUCCAGUUUAUCAGUUUGAACAUUAAAUACCUUGUCUUUGUAGUGUAUUCAAUUAAAUAUAGGUUGAACAUUGAUUUGCAAAUCAUUGUAUUCUGUUUUUAUUUAUGUUUAACAAAAUGUCCCAACUUGAUUGGAAUUGGGGUUGUAGGUUAUGCUCGUCUUUGGCUGGCGACGGAAAGAUUCUGCAGUUCUUCAUUGUCACGCCAAUAGUGCAGUAAGGCUGCUUUUUCGGGGUGGCAUGAAUGCAGCACAAAAUUGGACAAGCAUAGAACAAUUUGAGGUGCCCUUUGUGACACGAGUACAAUAAAUGUUUAAGAAGAAAAAAAAACAUUCCACCUGCCUGACUGGAAACAAUUACUUUUUUAAAAAUUGGAUUUGUUCAAAUUUAAAACACCUUUACACAUGAAAUCCUCUAAAACGCUAAAUAUUUGGAAUCCACUGUCUGUUAAAAAAAUGUAUUUACGACAAUGGAGUCUUAUUAAAAACACUGGUCUUAACUUUGCAAUGUUUUGCGAUGACAUUCCACCGUAGGAAGAUGGAAAAUAUUUAAUUUUCGCUUCUCAUUCUUCUCUUUUUUUUUUUUUUUAAAUGCAUAUGAUGUCACAACUAUAUUUGUAGUUUUACUCUGCCCACAUUUGAUUUUCUUUGUGAAACUGUGGUCCAUUUGUAUUAUUUUUUUUCAUAUUGGUAAUGUUUUCCAGUGGAGGUGGGACAUUGAACACCACUGCAAAUCUGUUGUUUCACUCUAAGUUGCUGUAUAAAAGGAGCAGUGCGGCUGCAAAGCCAAUUCCUGGGGAUUUACCAAGAUUCCUGAAACCAAGGCAGCUCCGCAAAGUCACUCAAUUCUGCCUUUAAAAAAAAAAAUAUAUAUAUAUAUACACCUAUACUUUAAAAAAAAAAAACAUUGUCAUCAUUGAUUCAAAACAGCAUCUUUUGUAUUUUCUACAAAAAUACAUGAGAAAAACAAACAAAAAAGGAUUUGGGAAGUCAACAAGCAGCCCCAUUGCUCCUUGGUAGUCCAGGUUCUUUCUAUCUAGCCACUUAAUUGUCCUGCAUUUCCCCUCCAAACCCACACACACACAAAGCAAAUCCCUGUGUAACACUUUAAAUAAAGGAUUGUAAUACUCUC
RNA transcript from Phyllopteryx taeniolatus (common seadragon), 6905 nucleotides. It is a transcript of the gene named erythrocyte membrane protein band 4.1 like 2, with no coding region annotated. NCBI's taxonomy places the organism in Eukaryota, Metazoa, Chordata, Actinopteri, Syngnathiformes, Syngnathidae. The record is from RefSeq and is a predicted model, not a curated record. The transcript is spliced from 24 exons.